RNAcentral lists this long non-coding RNA (173 nucleotides) under Cavia porcellus (domestic guinea pig). RNAcentral describes it as "lncRNA (ENSCPOG00000039450.1)". Lineage: Eukaryota; Metazoa; Chordata; Mammalia; Rodentia; Caviidae. The record is from RNAcentral.
GUGAAGUUUGUCCCCAUGAAAUCAGCAGUGCUGUCAGCAGUGUGGCUGACCUUGAAGGAAUUAGACUACGAAGACAGCGGAGUGCGCAUGCUCGAGUGUGCCCACAGACGAAAGAGAAAGAAAAUAAUGUUUUACCUGUGAUUUGAAAAUGCAACCAGAGUUACCAAGAAGCA